This is a microRNA precursor of Medicago truncatula (barrel medic), 201 nucleotides long. It matches the Rfam family "MIR2619 microRNA precursor family". NCBI's taxonomy places the organism in Eukaryota, Viridiplantae, Streptophyta, Magnoliopsida, Fabales, Fabaceae. The record is from Rfam.
AAACAGCCCCCUAUGUAUUGGAUCUUUGGCAGUUUUGGCCCCCAAGGCCACUUUUGACUUAGUCUUCGCCGACGUGACACCCUUAAUAGUCGACACAUGGCACCUCACUUAAGGGAUGUGGUUGCCACGUCAGUGAAGACUAAGUCAAAAGUGGCCUUGGGGGUCCAAACUGCCAAAGAUCCAAUACAUAGGGGGUUGUUU